This is an RNA transcript of Anarrhichthys ocellatus (wolf-eel), 1058 nucleotides long. It is a transcript of the gene named zona pellucida sperm-binding protein 1-like, with no coding region annotated. NCBI's taxonomy places the organism in Eukaryota, Metazoa, Chordata, Actinopteri, Perciformes, Anarhichadidae. The transcript has 5 exons. The record is from RefSeq and is a predicted model, not a curated record.
UGCAAUUAUCCCAAAAUCACAGCUUCACUAACUCAGCGUUUGCUGAUUGCUGCACUGCCAUCAGUCAGGAAACACAGCUGCAAUCAUUCAAAGCAGCAGCUCACAGAACACCAUCAGACACACACAGACACAUCUCCACCUCCAAAAGAUGCAACAUCAGAGGAUAAAUGACAAACAUUGUCCCAAAAUAAACGAGCUGCGACGCACACGUCGUGAAAUAAUUGCCGUCUGUCAAAGAUGCUCAGCUUAGUUUUGGAUAUUGAGACACGCUGCAGCCACUCUGUUGAUCCACAGGCUGAUGGUGGAAUGUAGCUCCUCCCCGGGUUCUCCAGGUGAAGUGAAGCUCCAUGUGAUGGGUCAACCUCCUCCACCUCCUGUUCACUCUACACCAGCCACUGUCGCUGUGCUACUGAGAAUUGCCACAGACGAGUCCUUCACCAGCUUCCACCCCGAGGCUCACCUGCCUCUCAGCCUCCUGCGAGGCAGACCAGUCUAUAUGGAGGUGAGCCUGCUGGACCCCCCCGAGCCCGGCCUGGUGCUGCUGGUUCACUCCUGCCUGGCUUACUCUCAAGCUCCAUACGCCAGCUGGAUGCUGGUCUAUGAUGGCUGUCCCAGCCGAGGUGAUUCAGAGCCGCUUCCUUCGCCACGCCCUGACCCCCACCACAUCCGGAGGUUCACUAUCUCUGGCUUCCUGUCUCUGCACUCAGAAAGUCCCCCAUACAUGGCUGAAGGAGGAUACUCUCACCUGGAGGACCCAGAGAAGUGUGCUCUGCUGCAGAUGGUGACUGCACUGUACGCUGCAUCAGCAGUAAGUUUAACACAGUGGAAACAUAAGAGAGGAACUAGUCCAACAAGGUUCUUAUACAUUGAUUAUAUAUAUUUUUAUAAUUUGAAGACUUGUGGGUUCCAGACUUGGAAAGUCUAACUCAACAAAGAACUAUUGUCCCUCCAACAAUAAGUCUGUGAUCCACUGAGAAUCUACACUAAAGCUGCACAGAUGGAUUCCUGUUGAAUGUCCCAACAGUGACGCGUGAGCAAUGAAAUAAACACUCUUACAC